UCGAACGAGUUCUCGUUGAUGAUCGGUGCUUGCACCGAGAUUCAACAUGGAACGAGUGGCGGACGGGUGAGUAACACGUGGGUAACCUGCCCUUAAGUGGGGGAUAACAUUUGGAAACAGAUGCUAAUACCGCAUAGAUCCAAGAACCGCAUGGUUCUUGGCUGAAAGAUGGCGUAAGCUAUCGCUUUUGGAUGGACCCGCGGCGUAUUAGCUAGUUGGUGAGGUAAUGGCUCACCAAGGCGAUGAUACGUAGCCGAACUGAGAGGUUGAUCGGCCACAUUGGGACUGAGACACGGCCCAAACUCCUACGGGAGGCAGCAGUAGGGAAUCUUCCACAAUGGACGCAAGUCUGAUGGAGCAACGCCGCGUGAGUGAAGAAGGCUUUCGGGUCGUAAAACUCUGUUGUUGGAGAAGAAUGGUCGGCAGAGUAACUGUUGUCGGCGUGACGGUAUCCAACCAGAAAGCCACGGCUAACUACGUGCCAGCAGCCGCGGUAAUACGUAGGUGGCAAGCGUUAUCCGGAUUUAUUGGGCGUAAAGCGAGCGCAGGCGGUUUUUUAAGUCUGAUGUGAAAGCCCUCGGCUUAACCGAGGAAGCGCAUCGGAAACUGGGAAACUUGAGUGCAGAAGAGGACAGUGGAACUCCAUGUGUAGCGGUGAAAUGCGUAGAUAUAUGGAAGAACACCAGUGGCGAAGGCGGCUGUCUGGUCUGUAACUGACGCUGAGGCUCGAAAGCAUGGGUAGCGAACAGGAUUAGAUACCCUGGUAGUCCAUGCCGUAAACGAUGAAUGCUAGG
RNAcentral lists this ribosomal RNA (794 nucleotides) under Lacticaseibacillus casei. RNAcentral's name for it is "bacterial SSU rRNA". It matches the Rfam family "Bacterial small subunit ribosomal RNA", at positions 62 to 820 of the family's 1533-position model. The record is from RNAcentral. Lineage: Bacteria; Bacillati; Bacillota; Bacilli; Lactobacillales; Lactobacillaceae.